RNAcentral lists this transfer RNA (74 nucleotides) under Cricetulus griseus (Chinese hamster). It matches the Rfam family "tRNA". From Rfam's summary of the family: Transfer RNA (tRNA) molecules are approximately 80 nucleotides in length. Their secondary structure includes four short double-helical elements and three loops (D, anti-codon, and T loops). Further hydrogen bonds mediate the characteristic L-shaped molecular structure. tRNAs have two regions of fundamental functional importance: the anti-codon, which is responsible for specific mRNA codon recognition, and the 3' end, to which the tRNAs corresponding amino acid is attached (by aminoacyl-tRNA synthetases). tRNAs cope with the degeneracy of the genetic code in two manners: having more than one tRNA (with a specific anti-codon) for a particular amino acid; and 'wobble' base-pairing, i.e. permitting non-standard base-pairing at the 3rd anti-codon position. The record is from Rfam by way of RNAcentral. Lineage: Eukaryota; Metazoa; Chordata; Mammalia; Rodentia; Cricetidae.
GAAGAAAUGUCUUAGUGGAUAAGAGAGCUUGCUGUACAAGCAUGAGGACCUGAGUUCAAAUCCCAGCAUCUCCU